UGGGGAAUUUUGGACAAUGGGGGAAACCCUGAUCCAGCCAUCCCGCGUGUGCGAUGAAGGCCUUCGGGUUGUAAAGCACUUUUGGCAGGAAAGAAACGUCGUGGGUUAAUACCCCGCGAAACUGACGGUACCUGCAGAAUAAGCACCGGCUAACUACGUGCCAGCAGCCGCGGUAAUACGUAGGGUGCAAGCGUUAAUCGGAAUUACUGGGCGUAAAGCGUGCGCAGGCGGUUCGGAAAGAAAGAUGUGAAAUCCCAGAGCUUAACUUUGGAACUGCAUUUUUAACUACCGGGCUAGAGUGUGUCAGAGGGAGGUGGAAUUCCGCGUGUAGCAGUGAAAUGCGUAGAUAUGCGGAGGAACACCGAUGGCGAAGGCAGCCUCCUGGGAUAACACUGACGCUCAUGCACGAAAGCGUGGGGAGCAAACAGGAUUAGAUACCCUGGUAGUCCACGCCCUAAACGAUGUCAACUAGCUGUUGGGGUCUUCGGACCUUGGUAGCGCAGCUAACGCGUGAAGCUGACCGCCUGGGGAGUACGGUCGCAAGAUUAAAACUCAAA
Molecule: ribosomal RNA, 557 nt
Filed under: uncultured bacterium
Lineage: Bacteria
Description: partial 16S ribosomal RNA
Rfam family: Bacterial small subunit ribosomal RNA
Source: RNAcentral